CUGGGCCACCAUUGCUUGCACCUUCAUCAUACCUCCCCAUCACCACCGCAUAGCUCUCUCUCUGAUCCGUUUGCUCCUCAUGGAAGUCCUUCGUCACCUCCCGAUCUCGCUGUCCACCGGGCCGAUUUCCCUUCUUCACAAACCACAGUAUAUGCGCCACCUCCCAAGGGUCCCUCUCCUCAGGCACCUUCAAGUAUCUGGCAUUUGGGGUAGUGACCUGCAAGCUCCGACACCGCCUAAGCCACCAUUGCUUGCACCUUCAUUGGACCUUCUUUGAGGAUUUUGGCAAACACUGAGCACACACCGAUGUGAAUCAUAUGCUCCACGCUCUCCAGAUCAUGGCCGAGCAGCCCGAGUGCCUCCGCCAUGUUCUCUUGGCAUUCUGGUUUGCCCUCUUUGACCAAUUUGAACAAGGGUCCGACUCCACCUUCCUCAAUUAUCAGAGGUGAAGCAUGAGAAACCAACGGCAACCAACUACCACCAGAUUGGGAAGGGAGGUAGGGGUGGGGUGGGAUGGGAUAAGGGGUUGCG
RNAcentral lists this long non-coding RNA (531 nucleotides) under Malus domestica (apple). Its description in RNAcentral is "long non-coding RNA (MDOM_LNC003984)". The record is from RNAcentral. Lineage: Eukaryota; Viridiplantae; Streptophyta; Magnoliopsida; Rosales; Rosaceae.